Molecule: non-coding RNA, 314 nt
Organism: Microcebus murinus (gray mouse lemur)
Lineage: Eukaryota; Metazoa; Chordata; Mammalia; Primates; Cheirogaleidae
Source: RefSeq, a predicted model, not a curated record
GGGCGGGCGGAAGGACUCUGAGAAAACGCCGGUGGCCUGGGAUGUUCUGGGCAGCUGGGCGGAAAUUCCUAACUUGUUGCCUUGGGCGAUGUGAGGGCAGAUUGUGGAUUCCCAUGUUAAGCAUUUUUUACAUCUAAGCCUUGAAGCAGGUUCAUCACAGAGCCAGGCAUAGGACCUCUACACGAAGCAUUGUUGGUGGUUAUGACACAAGGCUGAACACUGAUGGAAGCCCUGAAGAGUGCCGACUACUACAAUUCUUUAUGGGAAAACACUGCCCCACAGCAUCUUGCAGCUUCUGUUUAAGAGAUCGACCU